RNAcentral lists this ribosomal RNA (214 nucleotides) under uncultured bacterium. RNAcentral describes it as "partial 16S ribosomal RNA". It matches the Rfam family "Bacterial small subunit ribosomal RNA", at positions 1287 to 1500 of the family's 1533-position model. The record is from RNAcentral.
CCCAGUUCGGAUUGUAGUCUGCAACCCGACUACAUGAAGCUGGAAUCGCUAGUAAUCGCGGAUCAGAAUGCCGCGGUGAAUACGUUCCCGGGUCUUGUACACACCGCCCGUCACACCAUGGGAGUCGGAAAUGCCCGAAGUCUGUGACCUAACCGUAAGGAAGGAGCAGCCGAAGGCAGGUCGGAUGACUGGGGUGAAGUCGUAACAAGGUACC